This 253-nucleotide ribosomal RNA is filed under the name uncultured bacterium. Its description in RNAcentral is "partial 16S ribosomal RNA". It matches the Rfam family "Bacterial small subunit ribosomal RNA", at positions 524 to 776 of the family's 1533-position model. The record is from RNAcentral.
GACGGAGGAUGCAAGCGUUAUCCGGAAUGAUUGGGCGUAAAGCGUCCGCAGGUGGCAGUUCAAGUCUGCUGUCAAAGACCGGGGCUUAACUUCGGAAAGGCAGUGGAAACUGAACAGCUAGAGUAUGGUAGGGGCAGAGGGAAUUCCUGGUGUAGCGGUGAAAUGCGUAGAGAUCAGGAAGAACAUCGGUGGCGAAGGCAGGUCUCUGGGCUGACACUGACGCUCAUGCACGAAAGCGUGGGGAGCAAACAGG